GAUUGGGGUUAAUUUGCAGAAAUUCAGCUCCAGUGAAGAGAUCCGUCGCCGGUGAGAAAUGUCGGAUUAUUUGCCUCAAGAAUUAUUGGUUGAUAUCUUCACAAAACUACCAGUCAAAUCAAUCCUCCGAUGCAGAAGUGUUUGCAAGUCAUGGUAUUCUCUUCUUACUAGCCCUAGCUUUACCUUCACACAUCUCAAUCGAAAACGAGAUGAUCAUAUGCUGAUUAGGAAUUAUGGUAGAAGCACUCGAUUAGAUAUGUAUCCUUUGUUUGGUAACAAUGAGAGGUUGGAUCCCGACCAUUUCUUAGAUUUUUCAUUUCGUAGAGGUUCCGUUAGUAUAGUGGGUAGUGUUAAUGGUAUUUUGUGCCUCGCCGACACCGACACCGACGCCGACGCCGAUACCGAUGCCGACGCCGACUCCGCCA
This 425-nucleotide unclassified non-coding RNA is filed under the name Hevea brasiliensis (rubber tree). The record is from RNAcentral. Lineage: Eukaryota; Viridiplantae; Streptophyta; Magnoliopsida; Malpighiales; Euphorbiaceae.